AAAUACAGUUGGAUGACUUUUGCCUCCCAGUGAUGUGUUUCUCCUGCUUUCAGUUGUGAUCCAAGUUGGAAAUGGAGUGGAGUUGAACUCUCUGAUCCUAAAAGCAAGAGUCUCUACUGUCAGGGAUAACUCUGCUAUCCUGCCUUCUAGAACAUCUUCAGCCUCUUUAUAUCCAUGCUUCAUGACCAGGGAGGGAAAUUGCUGCAUUAUUGACUUGUGAUGCCCUCUUAAUCCUACCUUAAGAAUGUCUCAGCCUGAUCAGCACUUUUUGAAGAAUGUGGAGCCAAUGUCUCUGCUAAUCCAGGUAAAUCAGCCAUAUCUGGAGACAGACAGACAGAGGAGGAAGGAAGCAAAGCUAUUAAAACCAAAGAAGGCCUGUUUCAGGACUAAAAGGCCUGAGGUACUGAUUUAUAGGAGGAGAGUUGCCUUUCAGUCAUUUUUAAUGGAAUAUUAUUAAAGGAAAAUCAGGAGCUGUGAAACCUUUUGUGUCUCAUCUCCUAAUGUAUUUAUUUCUGCAGCAGGGAACCCUGUUAA
Passer domesticus (house sparrow) is the source of this 534-nucleotide long non-coding RNA. RefSeq lists it as uncharacterized. The transcript is spliced from 3 exons. NCBI's taxonomy places the organism in Eukaryota, Metazoa, Chordata, Aves, Passeriformes, Passeridae. The record is from RefSeq and is a predicted model, not a curated record.